AUAACAUUUUAGAAUGGGAGAACAGGCUACAAACUUUUAUUUUCAAAAUAUAAGUUAAACUGUCUCUAAACCAUACUUGACGUGUCGCUACAAGCUUACCAUACAAAGUAGUCAAUUUUUACAUUGUGUGUAAUGUAAAGCAGACUGUUAAGUAUUGAGUAAAAACGUAUUUUACUCAGAGUAACUGAAUGCAUAUGAGCCUGGUGUGGUUGCAAGAGACCUUUGCCUUUGAACCUGAUGGGUAUGUGGCUGGUUUGGUAUACUUUCCUACUUUCACAUUACAAAUUAAAUGGAUGUCAAUGACUUGUUAUUCUUUGUAGGACACUAAGAGUUCUGCAGCAGGAUGGAGUGCAGGGUCUCAUUGGUGACGAUGAGCUCCAGAAAAUACAUCAAGCACUGGUGUCUGAUGAAAUUAAGUCGAGCCGGAUGUAUCUUUGGAGAAAUCCCGGAACCUCAUUGAAACUGAAGCAGCUUUUAAGACCAAAGCGUUUCCUUGUCAAUGAAGAAAAUAGUAUCAAACUACUUGACAGAAUAAAGGGUACUUUGGAGUUGGAUGGUGACCUGGACACACUUGAUUUUCUGUUUGAUGUGAUGAUGCCUGAAGUCACCAUCCACACCAUCAGAAUGAACGACAGCGUUUGCCGGUACAUGGCUGAGAUGUGCCUUGCCUCAGGAACUGUGUUUGAGUGAAUAUAUAGUGUACUACAGUGUUUUGUACAUGUACAAAACGUGUUUUGAAUUGUAUUAUUUAUGUUUUCAAAUACAUCUAUUUUUAUUGAAAAUAUUAAUGGUAUGUGUUGAUUUGUAUUUUAUUGAGAGAAAUGCUUGUAAACAAAGAAAACUAAUGUAACCUGGCUGUGCUGACUGACAGGGAACUGCAAUUUAACAGUGUAUUGGAAAAUGAAAAUACUCAAACGUUGUUAUUAUAAACACAUUCAUAUUUGAUUUUGUCUUUAAAAUAAUAAAGAAAAUAUAAUUCUUCAUUAUUUCCAUAUGAAGAACAAUGUCAAUAAAACAUACCCCUUGACUGCAAAAUGUAGGUAACCUAUAGCCCAUGUUGACUUUAAUUAUUAAAAUUAAUGAUAUACACGCCGUCACUAGAAGGCGCUGAUAACAAUAAUUUAAUAAUAACGUCUCCGGCGGUGGCUCAUAUGCAUUCAGUUACUGAGUAAAAUACGUUUUUACUCAAUACGUAACAGUCUGCUUUACAUUACACACAAUGUAAAAAUUGACUACUUUGUAUGGUAAGCUUGUAGCGACACGUCAAGUAUGGUUUAGAGACAGUUUAACUUAUAUUUUGAAAAUAAAAGUUUAUA
This is a long non-coding RNA of Hypomesus transpacificus, 1316 nucleotides long. RefSeq lists it as uncharacterized. NCBI's taxonomy places the organism in Eukaryota, Metazoa, Chordata, Actinopteri, Osmeriformes, Osmeridae. The record is from RefSeq and is a predicted model, not a curated record. The transcript is spliced from 4 exons.